RNAcentral lists this unclassified non-coding RNA (269 nucleotides) under Hevea brasiliensis (rubber tree). Lineage: Eukaryota; Viridiplantae; Streptophyta; Magnoliopsida; Malpighiales; Euphorbiaceae. The record is from RNAcentral.
GUUUUCUUUUUCGUAUUGCUGCCAUAUGGUGUUGCAGUUUCUUCAUUUAGUAGUCUCAAGCUUUCUCCUCUUAUUUUUCUUUCUUAAAAAAGGUCUUUGAACUUAGGUAUUCUAAUUGUUGAGUGGUGAUAAUCUUUUCCAAAUUCUUUCUGACUCUUCGAGGUUUUUCUAGGGUUCUUGAAGGUAAGAUAUAGGUUGGUGGCGAAUUUUUCCAAUUCCUUUUCUUUUAUCGUCUUUCCGUUGCCUGUAAAGUGAAUUUUGAUAGCAAG